RNAcentral lists this ribosomal RNA (252 nucleotides) under uncultured bacterium. Its description in RNAcentral is "partial 16S ribosomal RNA". It matches the Rfam family "Bacterial small subunit ribosomal RNA", at positions 524 to 776 of the family's 1533-position model. The record is from RNAcentral.
UACGGAGGAUGCGAGCGUUAUCCGGAUUUAUUGGGUUUAAAGGGUGCGUAGGCGGACGCUUAAGUCAGCGGUAAAAUUGCGGGGCUCAACCUCGUCGAGCCGUUGAAACUGGGUGUCUUGAGUGGGCGAGAAGUACGCGGAAUGCGUGGUGUAGCGGUGAAGUGCAUAGAUAUCACGCAGAACUCCGAUUGCGAAGGCAGCGUACCGGCGCCCAACUGACGCUGAAGCACGAAGGCGUGGGUAUCGAACAGG